GACCGCCCCGAUGGCCUAGUGGUUAGUGCGUCUGCCUCGGAUUCUGGAGGUCGUGGGUUCGAUCCCCGGUGUAGUCA
Molecule: non-coding RNA, 77 nt
Organism: Potamilus streckersoni
Lineage: Eukaryota; Metazoa; Mollusca; Bivalvia; Unionida; Unionidae
Source: the annotation of a GenBank genome assembly